Molecule: ribosomal RNA, 459 nt
Filed under: uncultured bacterium
Lineage: Bacteria
Description: partial 16S ribosomal RNA
Rfam family: Bacterial small subunit ribosomal RNA
Source: RNAcentral
CCUACGGGUGGCAGCAGUGGGGAAUAUUGGGCAAUGGGCGCAAGCCUGACCCAGCAACGCCGCGUGAAGGAAGAAGGCCCUCGGGUUGUAAACCUCUUUAGGCGGGGAGCAAUGCCGGGCACGCGUGCCCGGAGGGAGAGUACCCGCAGAAUAAGCAUCGGCUAACUCCGUGCCAGCAGCCGCGGUAAUACGGAGGAUGCGAGCGUUAUCCGGAUUUAUUGGGUUUAAAGGGUGCGUAGGCGGAUUUUUAAGUCAGCGGUAAAAUGUCCGGGCUCAACCCGGGCCGGCCGUUGAAACUGGGGAUCUUGAGUGGGCGAGAAGUAUGCGGAAUGCGUGGUGUAGCGGUGAAAUGCAUAGAUAUCACGCAGAACUCCGAUUGCGAAGGCAGCAUACCGGCGCCCGACUGACGCUGAGGCACGAAAGCGUGGGGAUCGAACAGGAUUAGAUACCCCAGUAGUC